CUGCAAGUCGAACGGAAAGGUCUCUUCGGAGAUACUCAAGUGGCGGACGGGUGAGUAACACGUAGGAAUCUGCCCCAGAGUGGGGGACAACCAAAGGAAACCUUGGCUAAUACCCCAUAUGGCGUGAGCUGAAAGUUUUUUCGCUCUGGGAGGAGCCUGCGCUUGAUUAGCUAGUUGGUGAGGUAAUAGCUCACCAAGGCGACGAUCAAUAGCUGGUCUGAGAAGAUGACCAGCCACAAUGGGACUGAGAUACGGCCCAUACUCCUACGGGAGGCAGCAGUGGGGAAUUUUGCGCAAUGGACGAAAGUCUGACGCAGCAAUACCGUGUGUGGGAUGACGCCUCGUGGGGUGUAAACCACUGUCAGAAUGGAAAAAUUUGAUUGUACAUUCAAAGGAAGCACCGGCUAAUUCCGUGCCAGCAGCCGCGGUAAUACGGAAGGUGCAAGCGUUGUCCGGAUUUAUUGGGCGUAAAGAGUUUGUAGGCGGUUUUGUAAGUCUGAAGUGAAAUAUUGGAGCUC
RNAcentral lists this ribosomal RNA (518 nucleotides) under uncultured cyanobacterium. RNAcentral's name for it is "bacterial SSU rRNA". It matches the Rfam family "Bacterial small subunit ribosomal RNA", at positions 55 to 610 of the family's 1533-position model. The record is from RNAcentral. Lineage: Bacteria; Bacillati; Cyanobacteriota.